RNAcentral lists this ribosomal RNA (261 nucleotides) under Triticum aestivum (bread wheat). RNAcentral's name for it is "partial small subunit ribosomal RNA". The record is from RNAcentral. Lineage: Eukaryota; Viridiplantae; Streptophyta; Magnoliopsida; Poales; Poaceae.
AUGGAGGCCCUUAUUGGUAUGUCUCCUAUAGAGGCUCCGGUAGCAGAGGGGAAUAAGAAAAGAGUCGCAGCCGGAGCUCAAUUCACUUGGAUUGCACCGAACUUUGCACAUUGCCCUCAGGAUGCUACUGAUGAUGUGGUGCAGACAUAUGCUCGUGUCUACAUGUGGUACGUUAUCUCCAGGACUUUGUUUGCCGACGCUACUGGCAAGAACGCUCCAUGGAUGUGGCUUAAGGCGAUAACCGUCUUCGACAACCAAUGA